RNAcentral lists this ribosomal RNA (391 nucleotides) under uncultured bacterium. RNAcentral's name for it is "bacterial SSU rRNA". It matches the Rfam family "Bacterial small subunit ribosomal RNA", at positions 30 to 417 of the family's 1533-position model. The record is from RNAcentral.
AUUGAACGCUGGCGGAAUGCUUUACACAUGCAAGUCGAACGGCAGCACGGACUUCGGUCUGGUGGCGAGUGGCGAACGGGUGAGUAAUAUAUCGGAACGUGCCCAGUCGUGGGGGAUAACGCAGCGAAAGCUGUGCUAAUACCGCAUACGAUCUCUGGAUGAAAGCGGGGGACUCAGCAAUGGGCCUCGCGCGAUUGGAGCGGCCGAUAUCAGAUUAGCUAGUUGGUGGGGUAAAAGCCCACCAAGGCGACGAUCUGUAGCUGGUCUGAGAGGACGACCAGCCACACUGGAACUGAGACACGGUCCAGACUCCUACGGGAGGCAGCAGUGGGGAAUUUUGGACAAUGGGCGAAAGCCUGAUCCAGCAAUGCCGCGUGCAGGAUGAAGGCCU